UACGUAGGGUGCAAGCGUUGUCCGGAAUUAUUGGGCGUAAAGAGCUCGUAGGCGGUUUGUCGCGUCUGCUGUGAAAACUCGGGGCUUAACUCCGGGCCUGCAGUGGGUACGGGCAGACUAGAGUGCGGUAGGGGAGACUGGAAUUCCUGGUGUAGCGGUGAAAUGCGCAGAUAUCAGGAGGAACACCGGUGGCGAAGGCGGGUCUCUGGGCCGUAACUGACGCUGAGGAACGAAAGCGUGGGGAGCGAACAGG
Molecule: ribosomal RNA, 253 nt
Filed under: uncultured bacterium
Lineage: Bacteria
Description: partial 16S ribosomal RNA
Rfam family: Bacterial small subunit ribosomal RNA
Source: RNAcentral